Siniperca chuatsi (mandarin fish) is the source of this 1725-nucleotide non-coding RNA. Lineage: Eukaryota; Metazoa; Chordata; Actinopteri; Centrarchiformes; Sinipercidae. The record is from the annotation of a RefSeq genome assembly.
AUGACUGUAUUUCUGCUCUUUCUUGCCACCUGCCUCAGAGCCUCCAAAAGUGACUUUGGUAUCGGUGCCAAUCCCAUCCAAAAAACUGGAGAGUUACAUUCAGCUGUCAGUGUCCUGAAGGUCAAAAACACAGACUGGGACAGUAAAGCUGUUUAUACCUGUGAGGUGACUUACAGCGGAACACAAUAUAAAAAGAAGGCCUCAAAAGCUCCUAUCACAGUGACACUGAACCAACCAAGUCCCAAAGGAAUUUUCAGCAACAACCAGGCAGAGUUGGAGUGUAUCAUUACUGGACAGGACGAGACCAUUGUAAAUGAAAUUAAAGUCACUUGGCAAAUUGAUGGACAAGAUGUGACCGACAACAUUACUGAAACAACAAAGUCUGUUGAUGGUCAGCGCAUCAAAACCAGCACGAUGACUCGUAGUCGCACUGAGUGGCAGAGAGUCAACAAAGUGCGCUGUUCUGCCAUUAGAGACGAUAUGACUCCAGUUAUUCAAGAUCUGACUGUCCACAAAGGAGAUGGGCGUGAGCCAAAAGUGACAGUCCACGUCCUCACAGAGGAGGACAUCAACAAAGGAGCUGAGGUCACUCUGGUGUGUCUGGUCUCCAGUCCUGUGAUGCAGGAUUACUACAUCGCCUGGUCAGAAGAUGAAACCAACAUCUAUACUGAUGGCAUUAACUUCCCCCCACAGAAGACCCAACAAGGCUACUCAGUUACAAGUGUUUACACCACCACCAAGGAAAAGUGGAACAAGUUCAACAUGUUCAACUGCAACGUCUGGCCUGCUGGCAGCAAUGACUCCAUGAAACCCCGAGGAGUGUCUAAGUCCCAGGAUUUUCCUCCAGAGUCAAAACUGGGUUUUGCUCUGAGCUGCACAGAGGAUGCUAUUGAAGAGGAUGAGUUCAGCAGUCUGUGGUCCACAACCUCCUCCUUCAUAUUCCUCUUCAUAUCCUCUCUCUUCUAUAGCAUGAUAUUCAGCCUGGUCAAGAUGAAGAGACGAUAAAGGAUGAGAUGGAUGCACAGCGCAGACGACUACAGGUCUUCAUUUGUUUUUUUGUCUUUUUUAAAACAUGUACAUUAUCGAUGAUCUACUGUACAUCUGCUAAAUGAAAUGGUCGUCAUAUAUAAUGAUUAACUAAACACUGAAAAUGGAUUUCUCUGUAACCUGUAGAAAAAUCUAAAAUACAACUGCAAUUGUUGAUAUGAAUACAUUUGGAUUGUUGUUACAUUAUGAUUACAGAGGUUCUUGAUUACUUUUCAUUAAAAUGUGUUAGUGAAGUGUAGCAUUAACUUGUCAUUGAUAUGUAAAUAACAAAUUGUACUGUAGUAGAAACAGAAAUCUUUGCUUUUCAUGUUUGGUCAUUUUGUUGAUCAUAUUUGCUUUCAUCAUUAAUUCUAUAGAUAUGAUACUUACAAUAGAUGAGAUUUGUACAGACACAAACAUUAAAGGGAGUUUGAAUAUGAGUCAUAGUGUGCUUGUGAUCAACAUAAAAAGCUUCUGAGGAUUUUGUUCACAACAUCUAAAAUAACACCACAUCAAGUCAAUGUACUGUAAACUUCUGUUAUCAGUUAAGCUCUGAAGGUUUUUCAAUUUCCUGGAGUUUCUAAACAUAUCAUCUUUAGAGAGUCACUUCCCCUCUCUCUGCACCUCUGGGACCACACCUGUAGCAGUGAAACUUUGUAGAAACCGUCAGAGCUACGAAUAAACUUCCUCGAAGCAAGA